AGUGGGGAAGGCUGUUGAACUGGUGAUGUCACAAUUUGGGGCUUCUGGGUGGUUCUGCAGAGGCCCCAGGGACCUGUAGGCAGGUGGAGAGGGGAUGGGGGAGGUCUCAGGUCCUCUUGCUCACCCAUCAGCUGUGUAGUGUCUGAAGUGAUUAAGGAGCUUGGGGAGAGCCCUGAAUGGGAAGAAAUGGGUUCCAUGUGCAGCAAGCCAGGAGAGAUUUAGGCAACGAGAACCUCCAGUUCUGUCUUAGGGUUCCCAGCUUUCUCCUUGUCCUGAGGGAGCCGCUGAGCCUGUGGGAGAUGAGGGGUGCCCAUUCCCCAGUGCUUCUCACCCUCCCCCACCUGCCCUCCUGGGGUACCUUUGUCUGCCACUUGCAUCCUAUUGGAAGCUGUCCCCAAGUGCGUGUUAGGCAGGUGGCAGGUGCUGGAGCAGAGUGCACCACCCUCCGGCGAUCACUGUGAGUUGGGGUAAGAGUGGGGUGUUCCUGCCAGCCCCAGGAGAGGGGAAAGCAAGCCCCCGUCCACCCUUGUGGGUCUCUGCUCCUGGAAAAGGUGCUCUAGCAGGCUCAUCUGUGUGAGUCACUGUCUUCCAUGUGGGCCCCUGCCCAUCUGAGCAGCAGAGUUCAUCCCAUACCCUGCAGGGAGUCCAGCGCCACCAUGAUGUCCCUCUCUUCCCUCCUUGAGGCUGGCUGGGUCCAGCCUGAGCUGUGCCACCUGCUGGCUCAGGCCAGUGGGAUUGUGCCUCAGGCAGGCUCCUGCCCUUCCAAGCCAAGGGCUUGGCUGCAGACCCGACAGCGGCUCCCAGAGAAUGCUGGAAGCCAAGCUUGCACAUUCUAGGCAGCCAUUUGGAAGAUUCUUCUCUGCGCAUGACCAGCUGAAAAGGAAAAACCCCGAAACAUUGGCACUGUGAUUUCUCCAUGUGAACAGUUUAGUUCGCCGAGGUGGACAUGCCUCAUUCAUGCUUAUGGAGUGACCGACCAGCCUUUAGUGACACCCCCUGAAAUGUGAGUCAUCCAUGGGUCACUAGUCAUUGGAGAAGAGCCCCUUAUACAAAACUUGGAGCUCAGACCACAAACAACAACAACAAUCCAAAAAAUAAAAAAAUGAAAAAUUAGGAGCAGAGACUAAAUGGAAAGAUGGAAAUAUUAAAAUAAAAAUAUUAUUUUAAAAAUUAAUAUGUA
This 1180-nucleotide long non-coding RNA is filed under the name Homo sapiens (human). Its description in RNAcentral is "HSALNT0368245". The record is from RNAcentral. Lineage: Eukaryota; Metazoa; Chordata; Mammalia; Primates; Hominidae.